UACAGAGGUCCCAAGCGUUGUUCGGAUUCACUGGGCGUAAAGGGUGCGUAGGUGGCCGGGUAAGUCUAAUGUGAAAUCUCCGAGCCUAACUCGGAAACUGCAUCAGAUACUAUCCGGCUAGAGGAAUGGAGGGGAGACUGGAAUACUUGGUGUAGCAGUGAAAUGCGUAGAUAUCAAGUGGAACACCAGUGGCGAAGGCGAGUCUCUGGACAUUUCCUGACGCUGAGGCACGAAAGCUAGGGGAGCAAACAGG
This 253-nucleotide ribosomal RNA is filed under the name uncultured bacterium. RNAcentral's name for it is "partial 16S ribosomal RNA". It matches the Rfam family "Bacterial small subunit ribosomal RNA", at positions 524 to 776 of the family's 1533-position model. The record is from RNAcentral.